Molecule: ribosomal RNA, 504 nt
Filed under: uncultured bacterium
Lineage: Bacteria
Description: bacterial SSU rRNA
Rfam family: Bacterial small subunit ribosomal RNA
Source: RNAcentral
AACGAACGCUGGCGGCGUGCUUAACACAUGCAAGUCGAACGAGAAUUGGGUAGCAAUAUCCAUAGUAAAGUGGCGCACGGGUCCGUAACACGUGGGCAAUCUGCCCAAAGGCAAGGGACAACCUGUCGAAAGACGGGCUAAUACCUUAUAAGACCACGAAAUCUUCGGAUUUUGAGGUCAAAGGUGGCCUCUACUUGUAAGCUAUCACCUUUGGAUGAGCCCGCGCACCAUCAGCUAGUUGGUAGGGUAACGGCCUACCAAGGCCAAGACGGUUAGCUGGUCUGAGAGGACGACCAGCGACACUGGAACUGAGACACGGUCCAGACUCCUACGGGAGGCAGCAGUGGGGAAUUUUGGACAAUGGGCGAAAGCCUGAUCCAGCAACGCCGCGUGAGUGAUGAAGGCCUUCGGGUUGUAAAGCUCUGUCGGAAGGAAAGAAUAAAGGCCACCUAAUACGUGGCCAUAUGACGGUACCUUUAAAGGAAGCAACGGCUAACUCUGUGC